CAGAUAGUAGCGUAAUUGGUAACGUACUUGCAUUGGGAGUAAGACAUUAGGGGUUCAAGUCCCUUCUAUCUGA
Non-coding RNA from Dujonia railenensis, 73 nucleotides. The record is from the annotation of a GenBank genome assembly. Lineage: Eukaryota; Fungi; Ascomycota; Pichiomycetes; Serinales; Debaryomycetaceae.